RNAcentral lists this unclassified non-coding RNA (334 nucleotides) under uncultured Glomeraceae. Its description in RNAcentral is "SSU rRNA". It matches the Rfam family "Eukaryotic small subunit ribosomal RNA", at positions 548 to 886 of the family's 1831-position model. The record is from RNAcentral. Lineage: Eukaryota; Fungi; Glomeromycota; Glomeromycetes; Glomerales; Glomeraceae.
UUGGAGGGCAAGUCUGGUGCCAGCAGCCGCGGUAAUUCCAGCUCCAAUAGCGUAUAUUAAAGUUGUUGCAGUUAAAAAGCUCGUAGUUGAAUUUCGGGGUUAGUAGGCUGGUCGUGCCACCGGUACGUACUGGUCUUACUGAUUCCUCCUUCCUGAUGAACUGUAAUGCCAUUAAUUUGGUGUUGCAGGGAAUCUGGACUGUUACUUUGAAAAAAUUAGAGUGUUUAAAGCAGGCUAACGCUUGAAUACAUUAGCAUGGAAUAAUGAAAUAGGACGUUCGAUCCUAUUUUGUUGGUUUCUAGGAUUGACGUAAUGAUUAAUAGGGAUAGUUGGG